GACAGUGUGACCUUGGCCAAGACCUGACCCCGCCGUGGCUUGGCCACUCCGGCCUGGGCUGUGCGAAUCAAAGGGUCAUUGUCUGGCUGGCGUGGGUUCCGGCCCUCUCCGGGGAAACCGAGGCCAGCUGCCAGUGGCCUCCUGCUCCCGGCUCUGUCUUCCCUAACCCAGAGGCUCUGUGCAGGGUGACCUCUAACAGGUCACUGACCCUUUCCAGAGCGCCGCCUCCUCCUGAGACCCCAGUGAUGACCUCCCCUCUCCCGGCUCUGCCCCUCUCCCCACCCUAUCCAGGCCCGAGGCUCAUCCUAGGACUUCCAGCCCGCAGCCUGGCCCCUGCGGCCCACUUCCUACCCCAGCUGCCAUAACACUUCUCCCUGGCUCAGACACCCACCGUGGCUCCUCGUGGCCUCUGCUCACCCCCCAGGCUUCUGUCUCCCUCCAGGUACAUCCUGACAGGUAAACAGACAGUGACAAUCCAGUGUUGUUCUGUGGCGGAGGAUGCCCAGAUGGCAAAGGUGCCCCAGGCCUGACCCGGGCCUGGGGGAGACUGAGGAAGGCUUCCCAGAGGAAAGAGACGUUGAGGUUGAGACUCGAACGUCAGACGGAGCGGCAGGGGUGUGCGCUGGAAACAGACGCUUGUGCUGUGAGUGAGGGGGAGAGCAGUGGGGGGUGGUCAGCAGAACGGCGGUCCCAGAGACCAUGGGGCCCUCAUCCCUAGAACCCGUGGGUGUCCCACCCUCCCUGGCCAAAGGGGCUCUGCAGAUGGGACUGAGUUGAGGGCUUUCACACAGGGGUUCAUCCUGGGUUAUACGGAUGGCCCACUGUCCUGGAAGGGUCCGUAGAAGAGGAGAUGCCUGGCCGGGCGCGGUGGUUCACACCUGUGAACCACCAACACAUUAGGUUCACACCUGUGAACCUCCAACACAUUAGGAGGCCGAGGCAGGCAGAUCACUUGAGGUCAGGAG
Molecule: long non-coding RNA, 965 nt
Filed under: Homo sapiens (human)
Lineage: Eukaryota; Metazoa; Chordata; Mammalia; Primates; Hominidae
Description: HSALNT0254086
Source: RNAcentral